UUCCCCUCUGCCCCGACUAAAAAAUCCCCUCUACGCCGGCCGGUGCCCGACCGCCCGAUUCAGCGCCUCCGGCCGGAGACCGCCCCGCCGCCGACGAAGGCCACGCCGGUGAUCUCCCCCCAGCCCGCCUUCCCCUCUUUCAUCUCCUUUCUACUCCUCUCUCGGCCCCCUCGAGCUCACCUCGAUCCAUGGCCUCUCCUUAAACCUAGCUCCGGUCACGGCCACGACCGGCUUCGCAGCUCCCAGCCGCCAUUGCCUGCGCCUCCCCCUGUGUCUCCCUCACCUCGCCGUGCAGCACCGUGGCUGUACGUCGCCAGCGCCAUCAGUGGCAACCCGCUCUAAUCCACCUGCACGCCAUAGACAACGGCCAUGGAGGACGCACCUCCGGCUGCUCACUCGUCGCUUGCCGGCCAGUACCUCCACCACCAUCUCAUCCAUCUAGAUUAAGGGUGCUUUAAUUUCAACAGAUUUUCUUCUUCUUUGCAACAUGGUAAUUUGCUGAGAUAGAGUCUUGAUUUGAAUUAUUGCAGAAUGGCAAUCUGCUUUAUGUUGGCAUUAUCAUCUCAGGAUAAUCCAUAUGUUUUCCUAUGACUUGAGGAGUUGUUGAUGGAUGAUAUACAUAGGCUACCAAGUGGUAGCUCCAAUGUUGCAAUUGAGGUCAGCAAUGGGUGCUUCUCCUGGGAUGGCUCACCUGAGAUACCAAGGCUGAAGGAUCUGAAUUUUCAAGCUCAGCAAGGCAUGCAUGUUGCACUCUGUGGCACGGUCGUCUCUGGAAAAUCAAUUUUGCUCACUUGAUAUCUUGGUAUGGUGCCAAAGCAAUUAGGAGAGGCCAAGACUUGCAUAACAGGGGCAUAUGUCAGCCACACGGCAUGGAUACAGAGCGGCAACAUUCAGGACAACAUACUGCUCGGCAAGGAGAUGGAGAGUCAGAAGUAUGGCAGGGUCCUUGAGUGGUAUUCGCUAAACAAAUACUUGGAGAUCAAAAUCAUUGGAGAGUGAGGCUGCACUCUUAGUGGCAGGCAGAAACAAAGGAGUCAGAUAGCUCGAGCAUUGUAUCUGUAUGCUGACAACUAUUUGUUCCAUGAUCCGUUCAACGCAGUUUAUGCUCAUACAGGAUCCCAAUUUUCCAAGAUCGAUGGUUUCGCCGCGGUCGUCGGGAGAAAUAUCAUCAAUGGUACGGGAAAAAUAGGUAGUCUGAGGCGGGCACCCACACCAAGCGGACGACCCAGGAAGGCAGCUCUGCAACUCCGCCUCAUGCCACUUCCCAUCUCUAUGUUUGUGUCAGACCCAGCGUAAGGUAGUGGCAGAAGAGGAGGCCGGGAAGAGAAGCUCCAAGGUAGGAGGCUUUUGAUCUGAAGGCAAGUUGGACGAUCUGCUCACAAAGACACCUCUAUUCUGAAUUUCUACUUGAAAAGAUUGAUCAGGUCAAAAAUGUACCUUGGCUAUGUCUCUCACUGUGUGCUGAACAAUGUUUUGCUUAUUUUCAUCUUGGUUGUUGACAUUGGUGGUGUUAUCUGUCAGAGAAAGUUGUUGAAGUGGAAGAAGAAGAUGAACCUAUACAAGAGCUGAAAAAAGGACGUGGUAGAAAGAAGGAAGCGAAGCCUAAACAGUAUAAUGAUGUGAGUUCAGAUUUCCUAUGUUUUCUUCCCUUCUUCAUCAAUAUGAUAGCAUAGUUGUCUUCCAGAUUAUGCGAAUGUCUUUGGUUGUCAUAUAUUGUGAAUGCAUUAUAGUUUGAUGUGUUGUCUGUAUUAACUGCUCAACAUACUUUCCUUGAAUAAUUAUACAUAGACUGUUCUAUCCCUUAUUAUUUCAAAAAAUUCCGAUUGACCGCUCAACCUGUGACAGUACUACCUCGCCCAGCCGCGCAUCCAAGACGCGACGCUUGCUGGAAAGCUGGUCAAGUAGGCCCUCGACUGCGAGUUUUAGCUGAUUGGUCCUGCACAUUAUCCUAAUUGCUACAAUAACGGACUUACAACAAUCAUGCUUUCUAUAUUGAAUUUUUAUAUUCGACCUCACCAUUGCUUAGUUUCCUUUCCUGAUGUCAAGACACAAAGAAUUUGAGAUUCAAUUUAUCUUUUUUAGUUUUUACACUAGAGUGCUUCAUUUAUAUGUAUUACUGUAGAUACAUGGGAAUCCUUAAGGUGUCAGGCUUGUUCUUAUUAUUGCUCAUGCAACCCUAAACUUCAGUUAAAUGUACUACUUUUCAGGUUUUAGUGUCUGGAUCUUCAAUACAAAACAGAGUCGAUUGUAUAUGUCAAUUCUGUAUUGGUUCUAGGCAAGUAGGUUGACAUGUUCAUCUAUUAUCAUGAGUGUUGUGUUUACACUUGCAGUUCAGAUAUUAAGCUUAAGCUAAAGAUCUGACUGUACUGUCUAGAGGUGGAAUGGUAAGCUCUCUUUAUGGUUCUUUUUGCUAAAUAUCUUGCAAAUGCCACACUAAAGUGGGUAUCAGUCCAGUAUGUUCUUAUGUCUAUGCAUCCGGGAAAUGUUGACGCUUUAUUGGUUUUGGUCACAAAAGUGUUCUUAUGUCUAUGCAUCCGGGAAAUGUUGACGCUUUAUUGGUUUUGGUCACAAAAGUGUUCUUAUGUCUAUGCAUCCGGGAAAUGUUGACGCUUUAUUGGUUUUGGUCACAAAAGUGUUAGCUGUACAUGCUUUCAUCUUGAUUAUAUAUUAUAUGGAGUUCUUAAUAAUACUACUUCUCAGUUAGUUCAUUGAAGUAAUGAUACAAUCAAUUGGAUGUUUUUCUACGGUUAUUGAUCUAGCAGAAAAAAUGUUGUUUUCACAUCAUUGUUUUAAUCCAAUGUUCAGCUUUCAUGCUAUAAGCUUUACUGCUUUACUGAUUUUCGUAGGAAAUGUUGAACGUUCGUAUAAAUUGAAUCAAUGUGGCCUUACAUGUAGUGCCGGUACUGUUAAAUUUGUAGAUAUCUUAUUUUAUUCAGCAGUAACUUUAUUUUCUUUUCACUUCUUUUUUAUAAAUGUCAUGGAGUCAGUUAUAAUAGUGAUUUCUUUUCCUUCUGAAAGAAAUUGUUUAUCUGCUUUGGGUUUCAAUUUUAAGGCCAUCUCGGUACAAUCUGCAACUACUUAUAGACUACUUCAUCUGGAUGGGUUUGCAACUUUGUGUACAGUUUGCUUCAAUACCUCUGGUACCAUUCUACUGUCUGCUGCUAUUUUUCCAUUUGUUCAGUUGCUACCUCUACCCGCCAAGUUGAUUUUCUGCAGAUAGAGUUGAAGGUGAGGGUCGUCUAUGAGUUAUCGUCCGAUAUGGUGGCCACUAAGUUGAGGUGAACGUAGGCAACGUUGGUCAUGCUCAAUAGCACUUGUUUUGGAGACACGGGAGAAGACAUGGGGUGACGUAGUAGUGUGUGGGGCGGGCGGAGCGCCGGGAAAGGCCACAGCAACACCUGCGCUUCAAUCAAUUACGAUGGCCUCUGAUCAAACCAUACUAAGCCAGUGUAAAGGAAUUGACAAAGUGCAAAAUUGUUCAAAGAAAUAUGACUUGGGGCAACGUAGCAGUGUGUGGGGCGGGCGGAGCGCCGGGAAAGGCCACAACAACACCUGCACUUCAAUCGAUUAUGAUGGCCUCUGAUCGAACCAUACUAAGCCAGUGUAAAGGAAUUGACAAAGUGCAAAAUUGUUCAAAAAAAUAUGGCGGGUGGUCCCACAUCUAAAAAUAGAGGGAGAACUCAGUUAUAUCAAACAUGUGCCUUUUUUGUCAGACAAAGAAAAGUGUACUAUGAAAGGAAAUGUGUGCCAUUUUU
This is a long non-coding RNA of Triticum aestivum (bread wheat), 3755 nucleotides long. RefSeq lists it as uncharacterized. Lineage: Eukaryota; Viridiplantae; Streptophyta; Magnoliopsida; Poales; Poaceae. The transcript is spliced from 3 exons. The record is from RefSeq and is a predicted model, not a curated record.